Molecule: long non-coding RNA, 4132 nt
Filed under: Sorghum bicolor (sorghum)
Lineage: Eukaryota; Viridiplantae; Streptophyta; Magnoliopsida; Poales; Poaceae
Description: long non-coding RNA (SBIC_LNC017124)
Source: RNAcentral
UUUGGCGUAGAUGUUCUUAAGGAUGUUGAUAUUUGGUAACGCCAUCAGGAAAUGAUCCGCAAGCGCAUGGAUAUUAGUGAGCAUUUCACCCGAGAGUUUAUCUAGAGUAUUGUAUUUAUAUUUUUACCACUAGGAGAAAGCGUGCAUCUGACUAACUAAAUCUAUUGCUACUACCCUUUAGGCUACAGACAAUGUGAUUCGAUGUGAGCGAUGUGUAGAGAAGACUACAACCGUACUCUCGUUCUAACCUUGGUAAGGAUGACCUACUGUUCUAUUGGGGAGGCUCACGGACUCUAGACACCACAAAUGAUGUUCGACCCGCACCUAUAAACCCUAUCGAUCCAGCUAACGGGAUGUGGGCUACAAAGGUAGCUCGGAAAUGUCACGUUCCUUCCUACUACCACGGUCCGGCUAGACAGGGGAUAUCUAUGAGUACCCUAGCCCAAACACCACGUUUACGCUAGCAAUGAUUACUCUAAACUCAACCGGAAGAGAUUAAAGUAAACUCAUAAACCAAAGAACAAUAAGAACAAGAACUUACUAGAAUUUAGAAGUCAAAAUACUGAAGAACCCUAGGAGCAAGCCUCGGGUUAGGAACUUGAUCCCGCAGGUACAACCUCGGAGUGGACACCGACAGGCCGGGCUUCCUCCAAUCUACACCUCCACUCUAUCUCUCUCAAUCUAGUAGAACUAAUUCUACUCUCACAUUGGAUGCUAAGCCCUAUGAGGUUGGAUCCCUAGAGGGACCUCUCUCUUUGAAUCCUCUUUGAAAAAUAUGCUAAUGAAUAAUGGGAUUGCUCUCCUCCAGGGGCCAGGGGCUGCUUAUAUAGUCCCCUCAAGUGAACGUGGGCCGUCGGAUCAAACCGACAUUGAUUGAACGGUUCUCCUUGAUCCUUUAGGUCGGUGGAGCAUAAUCCGCGAGAUUGAUCGUGAUUGGUUGAAACACCAAGGCGGGCGCCCAAGGGGGAGGGCGGGCGCUCUGCCCUCGGGCCCGCUCAGCCUCCCGUUCGUUUCCGUGGCUUCUGGAGUCUUCUAGAUGAUAGAAAAUUGCGCAACACGCUAAUAUCUCUAUGUAAACCCGACAUGUGGGCCUUUCCUCCAUAUUUCCUGAUAACCCCCUACAGAAAUAGACAAACACCAAAACUCGUGGAAUUAUGUCAGAUAAAAUCCAAAGUCUGGAUGUUGGUUGCAUUUGGAUCCUUUUCUUUAUUUAUUUGAUGAUUAUAUUUGGUACUGAAGGACUAUCAACAACUCCCCCAUGCUUACCUCUUGCUCGUCCCUGAGCAAGGAUAUACUCAAGAGUUUCAGUAGUGGUUUCAUGCCUUAAAAGUACACAUGCGUUCAAGCAAGAUCUCAUCUCUGAGUUAGAGUCAACUGUUAAGACUUAAAACUUACUCAUUUUACCUUUUACCAUGGGGCUUGCAACCGUCACUUGUGUCUUGAGUAGUUAAAAGAUAGAACAGUCAAGUCAAGCGUCAUGUCUCUUGUUCUUGGAUUAACUAUAGCUCUGGAGUUUUUGCAGAUUUUCAAAUAAAACUCAGAGAUUCUUUGUAUGACUCUCUCAAAUCUCUCUUUUGUGGUAUUUCUAGAUCCUUUCCAAGGCAGUAAUGGUAUAUGCCUUCUCUCAAAGUAUGUGGUAUUUUUUGUAUGAGGCAUAGUGAUAUUGCCUUCUCUCUCACCCUACUCUAAUAAGGUUUUGAUAUCUGGAGCUCAUAGGUGGGAGACAGAUAAUACAUACUUACAAGACAUUUAUUGCAUAGUCAAACCAUGGAUCUAGAGAAACAAGUCAAUAAGUCAAAUUAAGAUUCUGCAUGUGUGGCGAGUGAAUGGUGUAUGGUGAUAACAAUUGUGAAAGUCUAAUUCUACUUUUUGCUCUUUUAAGAGAUACAUACCUUUCUUGCUCUUUUGAAACUUUUUGAGGAGAAUGAGAUGCUCUAUAUUUUCUUUUUCUUUCCUCUCAGGUGGGUAUCUUGUCCCCCUAAUUCUACUGUCGGACACUUGUCCAUUUUUACCUCUCGUCUCACUUUUUCUUUUCUUCGAGGUUCCGGGCACUUGCCCCUUUUUAUUUCCUCGUAUUCUUUCUCUCUCUUUUUUUAUUUUUUUUCUUUUUUUAGAGAGCACUCAUCUCCUGAAAUAAUAUAGCAAGUGGUAGUAACCAAGAUAACUCGAGCAUUUAUUUCAUAGGGAAAAACAGAAAUAGGAGAAUGUUUUUGGCUAUUCUCUCCCGGAUUAGGAGUAGAAUACUUUUGGGUGGCUCUAGAGAUGGAAAUGAGUGGAUAUAUGUGGAUGCGUACUUCCGGAGUAGAAGCAGCAUGUGCGAGUGAACGUGCAAGUGAAUCUUGAUUUUAACCGCAUGACAAGCUCCUAAUGGUCUACACAGCUUGACCACACUGAAUGCUCAUAAGCAGUAAAAAGUAAAUGUGUGGCUCAAAGUCUAGCAACCAUGUAUAUAUGGCUGUGGUAGGAAUUUAAACUCUCAUCAUACAGGAACUCAUCAUGUGUUAUUUUAAAGAUUUUCAAAGAUAAAAUUCUCCAGAAUUCUAGCAACUCUAGGAACAGAUAAACAGCGGCUUAAUCUUUCCAUAUCAUAUCCGUUAACGACUUAGACUUUAGAUCAAGUACUCUUCCCACAAGUUCAGGUUUAGAGCAGGUUUAAAUUAUAACAGUUAUGCCUAAACUUGAUAGAGAGCUCAAACUUGAAAACUAGGUACAUGGCAGAGCAACUAUUUAUCAUAUCCAUGUAAGAGUUUAUCAUUUAAGUUCAGUUUGGCCUAGACACUUUAUUUAUUUAUUUAGCAAACUAAGCAAAGAUAUAUAAGCACAAAAUUUUUAUUUGGGUUUUCAUGAUUAUGCAUCUUUUUAUUAUUUGAGUAAAGUAUAAACGUGAGUAGAAACACUUAGCUGGAUAAAUGGGGGUGCUCUCCCCCAAGCUGGAUUUUGACAUAAUUUCUUCUGAUGUAGCUAGCAGGUGAUAGAGGUGUAUUUGAAUGUCGGCAGCACACUAACAGCGAUUACUAUGUCCUCCGCCGGCUUGUCUUCUUUGAUCCUUAAAUUCUGUGGAGCUCAAAUAGACAACAAAGCUUUGUGGAACUGGUUAAGUGUUAGCAUAAAAUCUCUUAGCCUUUAUCAUACUGAGAUUCCUCCUAAUAAAUUUUAUUUAUUUAGCAGGAUCAUGCACUUAUUAUUUUUAUAUUUUUAUUAUAAGAUGAAAACAUAUUUAUUUUAUCCACCACAGUCAAUAUACCUAUGGAGUUUAAACCACAAGUCUACUCACAUGGGGCUUUAGAUUUUAUGAUGCAGUGCAAUGAACAAAUAUUUUUGUUUUCUUUUCUAAUGCUAAUGUGGAAAAGUAAAUAUGCUAAUGCAAGUGAUGGAAUAAAAAGGAAAAGGAAUGCAGAAAAGAUAAAUAUGGAUAAAUACCGAUUUUACCUUCCGGCAAUGAUCCAAUGUUUUAAGUCUUGUGGACAAGACUUCUCACCGUGUUCAUCCUUUAGGUGCAUCAUUUGAUUAGGUGUGGGCCUUAACAUCUGCACCUCUUGAUACGGUUUCACCCAUGUUCUUCGUUUGUCCAGCAUUUCGACAUGCGGCAUUGGCAGCAUUUUGCUCAGUGUGUUUGUGGUCGUAGAUCCAAGUCCUUUACUUGGUGGAAUCUGGGAGUUAUAAAACUCCUUCAGGUUUUGCUCGAAGUGUACCUUGAAAGCCCAAGUUUGGUUUUGGUAAUUAAUGACACCAAGUUGCUAAUGCCUUGUGUUUAAGUGUUUUGAGUUAGGCAUAGCAACGUAUGUGAUGAAGAUGCAUGGUGGCAUGGAAAGGUGGCCACAUGAUCACAAAGGGAUGAAGCAUGAAUUGAAGAUCAUGGUGAUAGACGAAGAGCAAGGUUAUCAAGGCAAAGGUAUAAACAUAGGGUUUUACUUUUGCCGGUCUAAGAUGAGUAGAGAAGUAAUUGACCGGGUUUAGGAUAGAUAGCCGACUAUCAAGAGGGGAAAUCACGGUUAUCUCUCGAAUCAAGUGCUACUAGGUCUACAUCUUGAGCAUAUGCAUUAGGAUCUAGUAAAGUGCUAACUUAACUCCUUUGGUGAAAAUGUUUGUGAAAAGCUAACACACUUGCACUUUGGUGGUGGACACUUGUUGG